CACCACUCUCCUUGAAAAAGGGAGGGGCUGGGCCCUGGGCUCCCAGACUUAGCUGGGCUCCGGUGCCCUUCUAGGCUCGGUCCUAGAGCCGGACGGGGGCGAGGAGGACGCUGCCUGGACUCUGAUACGGUCAGAGGGAGCUCUGCAAAUCGCUGACACCAGCGAGGUUGGCAGCUUUGGCAAGCCAGGCUCGAAGGCUGUCCUCAGUAAAGCACCCAAGCAGACUGAAAAUGGUGUUUGGACUGGGCGGCCAGAGAGAGAGGCUCUACAAGCCCCUGUAUGUAGCACACCUCUUCAUUCUUGC
Molecule: long non-coding RNA, 304 nt
Organism: Neomonachus schauinslandi (Hawaiian monk seal)
Lineage: Eukaryota; Metazoa; Chordata; Mammalia; Carnivora; Phocidae
Exons: 3
Source: RefSeq, a predicted model, not a curated record